AAACCAAAAAGGCCGAAUCCCCGGUAGUACCGGGGUAUGGGGGAAAUUAAUGGCAAGGGGUGAAUCCGGCCUUUCCCUUAAGGGGGUGAGGAAGAGCGGGAGGCCGGUAGGGUGGCCCUCGACCCGAACCCGUCAACUAACCCCAGAGGCCGAAAGAGGGGGUAA
Molecule: small RNA, 165 nt
Filed under: Ammonifex degensii
Lineage: Bacteria; Bacillati; Bacillota; Clostridia; Thermoanaerobacterales; Thermoanaerobacteraceae
Also listed under: 1 other name
Description: c-di-AMP sequence
Rfam family: c-di-AMP riboswitch aptamer (ydaO/yuaA leader)
About the family: This family represents a conserved RNA structure found upstream of the ydaO and yuaA genes in Bacillus subtilis and related genes in other bacteria. The ydaO/yuaA element is thought to act as a genetic "off" switch for the ydaO and yuaA genes in its native state.
Source: RNAcentral